UCGCUUAUAUCGGACAAAACCAGUGGGAACAAUUGAAUCCGAUAUAUCCGAGGUUUACUGUAUUUCAAUCACACCUGCCGGCGCUCUGAGAUGUUUCAGGUGCGGAGUCCACAACAUUGCUGGUGGUGGUGGCAUAGUCGAUCGGCGCCGCCGCAGUGGCGUUCAACUCCAGGUCACAGAUCCAUCACAAACUAAGACCUUCCAGUUUGGGCUCUUGGACAAUCCACAGUGAUGCCGCCUACGUUUUACUGAAGAGGAACAGAUGGACUCCGCAUGCCAGCAUGAAAAGUUCAUGUACAAGCUCAACAAGAACGUCUUCAUCAUCCACCAACUGAAGACUGAAGAUCUCUUCUCGGAGGAUUCAUCCCAGGUAGUAAAAAGCUGAAAAAAAACAAAAAAACAGAUUAUCCAUCCACCCCCGAACCCCGAUCUUCCCAAAUCUACUGUGUGGCCCUCCAUUCUAACCACUGUUCCACCAUGCGGUGAUUAUGAUUUAUCCGUUUGAAUCUCCGAUGUCAGAAUAGCUACGUGACACUGUUGCCAC
Doryrhamphus excisus (bluestripe pipefish) is the source of this 544-nucleotide non-coding RNA. Lineage: Eukaryota; Metazoa; Chordata; Actinopteri; Syngnathiformes; Syngnathidae. The record is from RefSeq and is a predicted model, not a curated record.